Helianthus annuus (common sunflower) is the source of this 277-nucleotide long non-coding RNA. RefSeq lists it as uncharacterized. The transcript has 2 exons. NCBI's taxonomy places the organism in Eukaryota, Viridiplantae, Streptophyta, Magnoliopsida, Asterales, Asteraceae. The record is from RefSeq and is a predicted model, not a curated record.
GCCGGAGGGAAUUCACGGGGAAAAAGUGUGCUCUAAAGUUUUUCAGGUAUUCAAGUAGAAGGAUGAUGAUCAAGCAUAAGUAUCCGAACCGAACACUCAAACAAACGCUUUCGUACUUGAUAUUUGGUUUUUUAAAACUAUGUAAAAAAAAAUUGUAGUUCCUGUUUUGUAUAUGUUUUCGUAGGAUUAACAUGUUGAUGUAUUAUCUAGUUAACAUUUCAAGUCUUGAAAGUUUUUGUAAACUCCAAAUUUGGUAUAAAAUGCAAGGUCUUAUGUA